RNAcentral lists this ribosomal RNA (521 nucleotides) under uncultured bacterium. RNAcentral's name for it is "bacterial SSU rRNA". It matches the Rfam family "Bacterial small subunit ribosomal RNA", at positions 8 to 525 of the family's 1533-position model. The record is from RNAcentral.
AGGGUUUGAUUAUGGCUCAGGAUGAACGCUAGCGGCAGGCCUAACACAUGCAAGUCGAGGGGUAACAGGAAAGCUUGCUUUUGCUGACGACCGGCGCACGGGUGCGUAACGCGUAUGCAACCUACCUCAUACAGGAGAAUAGCCCUUGGAAACGAGGAUUAAUACUCCAUGGUAUCAUUUUUUCGCAUGUUAGAAUGAUUAAAGAAUUUCGGUAUGAGAUGGGCAUGCGUCCCAUUAGCUUGUUGGUGAGGUAACGGCUCACCAAGGCAACGAUGGGUAGGGGGCCUGAGAGGGUGGUCCCCCACACUGGUACUGAGACACGGACCAGACUCCUACGGGAGGCAGCAGUGAGGAAUAUUGGUCAAUGGAGGAAACUCUGAACCAGCCAUGCCGCGUGAAGGAUGACGGCCCUAUGGGUUGUAAACUUCUUUUAUAUGGGAAGAAACUUAUCUACGUGUAGAUAACUGACGGUACCAUACGAAUAAGGAUCGGCUAACUCCGUGCCAGCCGCCGCGGUAAUA